UGGAUCACAAACCUGGCACCACUAUAAUUAUCAAUCAAGUUGCCAUUGAAAUUGACCUUGAGGAAGAUCAAAGGUGGAAGCUCCAAAGAGACGAAGAUCAUGCAUCUCACUCCACAAGUAGGGAAGUCCAAGACCGUUGUCCCAAUUUAUCAAAAUCACUCUCUCAGAAGAAGGGCUAACAAGCUACCAAAGCCCCCUCUUUUUCAGUCACACUAAAAUUAUCAGACACACACAC
This 235-nucleotide long non-coding RNA is filed under the name Elaeis guineensis (African oil palm). Its description in RNAcentral is "long non-coding RNA (EGUI_LNC002721)". Lineage: Eukaryota; Viridiplantae; Streptophyta; Magnoliopsida; Arecales; Arecaceae. The record is from RNAcentral.